UACAGAGGGGGCAAGCGUUGUUCGGAAUUACUGGGCGUAAAGGGCGCGUAGGCGGCAGCGCAAGUCGGGCGUGAAAUCCCACGGCUCAACCGUGGAAGUGCACUCGAAACUGCGCAGCUAGAGUCCUGGAGAGGAAGGUGGAAUGCUUGGUGUAGAGGUGAAAUUCGUAGAUAUCAAGCGGAACACCGGUGGCGAAGGCGGCCUUCUGGACAGUGACUGACGCUGAGACGCGAAAGCGUGGGGAGCAAACAGG
RNAcentral lists this ribosomal RNA (253 nucleotides) under uncultured bacterium. RNAcentral describes it as "partial 16S ribosomal RNA". It matches the Rfam family "Bacterial small subunit ribosomal RNA", at positions 524 to 776 of the family's 1533-position model. The record is from RNAcentral.